AGCUCUACCGUUUUCCCUGGCCCGUCUUGGAUCCCCAAAUCCCUAUGGCCUGUAUUCACGUGCCCCUCCCUCACACGCUCCGCCUUCCUCCCUCCUCUCUCCCUCUGCUCGGUCCGGAUCGUUCCUUCUGCGCUGGGUGUAGCCUCUGUAGUGGGGAGCCCAAGCUUACUCAGCACUUGCGCCCUAUAGCAAAAACCUCUCCUCAGACAAAAAACAACAAAGCGCUUUUCUGGCCACUGUCACAUUUUAUCCACGUGGACUUGGCAGUUGCCCAAACUGAGGACCAAGGAGGGCAGGAGGCUCAAACCUCCACUGGAAGGACCAGCAGUUAGCGUAAUGGCUAUGUCGCUGGACUCCCAUGUAGUCGACU
Molecule: long non-coding RNA, 370 nt
Organism: Tupaia belangeri chinensis (Chinese tree shrew)
Lineage: Eukaryota; Metazoa; Chordata; Mammalia; Scandentia; Tupaiidae
Exons: 3
Source: RefSeq, a predicted model, not a curated record